GGGAGGGUGACCGACCGUGGGGAGGAAGCGGGGAGCGAAACCGCGGGCCGAUUUACAAGAACUGGAUCCGAGGCGUCGCCGAGCGGGACGAGCGGGCACGAGACCGCGAAGUUCCGAUGACCAAGUCUCAGGCGGCGUAAAUCCAGCGGUCGUGCGGUGAAGGACAGCGUU
Non-coding RNA from Vulgatibacter incomptus, 171 nucleotides. The record is from Rfam. NCBI's taxonomy places the organism in Bacteria, Pseudomonadati, Myxococcota, Myxococcia, Myxococcales, Vulgatibacteraceae.